AUGAGCCCUGCAUUCCUGCUGAGCUGUUUGACUUGGAGGAAUAUUUGAAGAGUAAAACAAAUGAAUGAAAAUGAGAAUAACUAAAGCUGCAGCUCUUAGUCCCCGCCUGUGGCACUCCAGAGAAGCGCUCAGAGAUGACAGGCAGGAAGAGAGACCGAGGGGAUCGGGGCGGGGACGCGGGGCUCUCCGCGGCUCUCCGGGACGACCCGAACAAGGGCUAGGCGACAGCAACCAGGGGCUCUCGCUCUCCUCCUCCCUCCCUCUCUCCUUUCCUUCCCUCACUCUCUUCCGUCCCGUCCCACCGCCCCCUGGGCGGGCCGCCCGCCGUGGCCCAUAUAGGGGCGGCUCGGGUUGCCGGCGGCACAGCGCAUCCUUCCACCCGCGGGCUCCUCUCGGAAAAGAGGCGGAUUCCCAAUUGCGCCGCUGGCAUGGCCUCAGUACCCUCCGCCGGCUGCCUCCUGGCCAAGAACCAGUACUACAGAACAAGACUGAACUCUGA
This 499-nucleotide long non-coding RNA is filed under the name Manacus vitellinus (golden-collared manakin). RNAcentral's name for it is "lncRNA (ENSMVIG00005001922.1)". The record is from RNAcentral. Lineage: Eukaryota; Metazoa; Chordata; Aves; Passeriformes; Pipridae.